Molecule: non-coding RNA, 54 nt
Organism: Drosophila melanogaster (fruit fly)
Lineage: Eukaryota; Metazoa; Arthropoda; Insecta; Diptera; Drosophilidae
Source: Ensembl
GUGAGUUUUUGAGCCAGGAAUAUAGUUCUUAUUAUUGGUUCAAAUCGCUCGCAG